RNAcentral lists this ribosomal RNA (273 nucleotides) under uncultured bacterium. Its description in RNAcentral is "partial 16S ribosomal RNA". It matches the Rfam family "Bacterial small subunit ribosomal RNA", at positions 524 to 796 of the family's 1533-position model. The record is from RNAcentral.
GCCAUAUUUGGCACUCGUUUAUCGGCAUUACUGGGCUUAAAGGGCGAGUAGGCGGUGGAACAAGUCUGAGGUGGAAUCCUAUGGCUUAACCAUAGAACUGCCUUAGAAACUGUUUUACUUGAGUCAGUGAGGGGAGGGCGGAAUUCCUGGUGUAGCGGUGAAAUGCGUAGAUAUCAGGAGGAAGGCCUGUGGCGAAAGCGGCCCUCUGGCACUGUACUGACGCUGAGGCGCGAAAGCGUGGGGAGCAAACAGGAUGAGAUAACCCUGUAGUCC